GCAGAAGUGCCACAUGCAGGUGAAUUAAAUACAUCUUAGUUAUGCAACAGGAAAAAUGAAUCAUCAACAAUGUGGCAUAGGAUUAAUAUAUCUGCAGAGAAAAUGGUAAUGUGAAAUGAUAACACCAAGCACCCAAUAAUUAGGAUCAACAGCUCUGAGGGGAGGAAAGUUGGUGGCACCUUCCCUAGAUUGUCUUGCCCAAGCCUUUGAAUCACUCCCACACACCAUGCACAUGUGUAUUUAUGUCAAGCUUCGCAUGACUCACCUGCAAAACCCUAAUCUCCCGGGUGGGCAGCC
RNAcentral lists this long non-coding RNA (297 nucleotides) under Elaeis guineensis (African oil palm). RNAcentral describes it as "long non-coding RNA (EGUI_LNC030461)". Lineage: Eukaryota; Viridiplantae; Streptophyta; Magnoliopsida; Arecales; Arecaceae. The record is from RNAcentral.